CGAAGCAGACCAGAUGGCCGCCGUCCCCCGUAGCCUUGUGCGAAGGGGGAGGGAGGAAAGUCCGGGCUCCACAGGGCAUGGUGCUGGAUAACGUCCAGCGGGGGCAACCCCAGGGAAAGUGCCACAGAGAGAAGUCCGCCCUCCGAAGCCUUGGCGAAGGGGGGUAAGGGUGAAAGGGUGAGGUAAGAGCUCACCGGGUUCGGCGGCGACGCCGGAUGCCAGGUAAACCCCACCAGGAGCAAGACCAAAUAGGGAAGCGCCAAGGACGGCCCGUCCGUGCUUCCGGGUUGGUUGCUUGAGGGUGUCGGCAACGGCACUCCUAGAUGAAUGACCAUCGCCCGCCUCCGGGUAACCGGUUGCGGGAACAGAACCCGGCUUACGGGCUGCUUCGGCCA
Molecule: RNase P RNA, 395 nt
Filed under: Geomonas diazotrophica
Lineage: Bacteria; Pseudomonadati; Thermodesulfobacteriota; Desulfuromonadia; Geobacterales; Geobacteraceae
Description: RNase P RNA component class A
Rfam family: Bacterial RNase P class A
About the family: Ribonuclease P (RNase P) is a ubiquitous endoribonuclease, found in archaea, bacteria and eukarya as well as chloroplasts and mitochondria.
Source: RNAcentral